RNAcentral lists this ribosomal RNA (434 nucleotides) under uncultured Lachnospiraceae bacterium. RNAcentral describes it as "partial 16S ribosomal RNA". It matches the Rfam family "Bacterial small subunit ribosomal RNA", at positions 341 to 792 of the family's 1533-position model. The record is from RNAcentral. Lineage: Bacteria; Bacillati; Bacillota; Clostridia; Lachnospirales; Lachnospiraceae.
ACGGAAGGCAGCAGUGGGGAAUAUUGCACAAUGGGGGAAACCCUGAUGCAGCGACGCCGCGUGAGUGAAGAAGUUAUUCGUAAUGUAAAGCUCUAUCAGCAGGGAAGAAAAUGACGGUACCUGACUAAGAAGCCCCGGCUAACUACGUGCCAGCAGCCGCGGUAAUACGUAGGGGGCAAGCGUUAUCCGGAUUUACUGGGUGUAAAGGGAGCGUAGACGGUCUGGCAAGUCUGAUGUGAAAGGCAGGGGCUCAACUCCUGGACUGCAUUGGAAACUGUCAGUCUUGAGUGCCGGAGAGGUAAGCGGAAUUCCUAGUGUAGCGGUGAAAUGCGUAGAUAUUAGGAGGAACACCAGUGGCGAAGGCGGCUUACUGGACGGUAACUGACGUUGAGGCUCGAAAGCGUGGGGAGCAAACAUGAUUAGAUACCCUGGUA